RNAcentral lists this long non-coding RNA (637 nucleotides) under Olea europaea subsp. europaea. Lineage: Eukaryota; Viridiplantae; Streptophyta; Magnoliopsida; Lamiales; Oleaceae. The record is from RNAcentral.
UCGUGCAUAAUAUUAGUGAAUAGCACAAAAUUCUUGCGAAAAGGCAAUCAUCCAAAAGCAUUUCAAUUUUAUAUUCCCAUGGCAUUUAAGUGGCCCUAUAACAUUAAAUUAUUGUUCAUACAAUUUAUACAAAUAGCAGCUGAGUUGAGAUGCCACAACAAGGUAAACUAAUAUAGCUUGCUCCCAAGGUAAAAUUGCCAAUCCAUCCAUUCUGUUUAAGCUGUAACAGAGAAGAAUAGGUUUUAGUUUUCUAAUAUUCAUCCUUUUUCCAAAAUUAAAGAAACCAAACCUUCCAUAUUGGGUGAAAGAAUGUGUUGAACUACCUUUAGUGGUGAAGCUGAGUAAAUGCAUGAUAUUACAAGGAUCCACCAACAGCUAGGUAAAAUGUCGCUGGGAAAUUAUGCCCUGCCUAUAAGGUGAGAGAUUUUAGGGCAAAUUGUAGCCAUUUACUAGUGAAGAGAUGGCAUUUUUGAAGACCUACCCACACAUCUAAUAAACCAGCCAACCUGAGACCUCCAAGAAGUAGCACCCAGAUUUGUGUAAUCAUCUGACAAUAUUAGUACCUUCGGAUUAUAACACUUCCAACUUAUCGGCGACCCUUGGCCAUCCACAAUUAGAGUUGGCAACGGUUCAGUUA